GAUUAAGUUAUUAAGGGCGCACGGUGGAUGCCUUGGCACUAGAAGCCGACGAAGGACGUUACUAACGACGAUAUGCUUUGGGGAGCUGUAAGUAAGCUUUGAUCCAGAGAUUUCCGAAUGGGGAAACCCAGCACGAGUUAUGUCGUGUUAUCGAUAUGUGAAUACAUAGCAUAUCUGAAGGCAGACGCGGAGAACUGAAACAUCUUAGUACCCGCAGGAAGAGAAAGAAAAAUCGAUUCCCUGAGUAGCGGCGAGCGAAACGGGAAGAGCCCAAACCAACGAGCUUGCUUGUUGGGGUUGUAGGACACUCUAUACGGAGUUACAAAAGAACAGACUAGACGAAUCAUCUGGAAAGAUGAAUCAAAGAAGGUAAUAAUCCUGUAGUCGAAAGUUUGUUCACUCUUGAGUGGAUCCUGAGUACGACGGAACACGAGAAAUUCCGUCGGAAUCUGGGAGGACCAUCUCCCAAGGCUAAAUACUCUCUAGUGACCGAUAGUGAACCAGUACCGUGAGGGAAAGGUGAAAAGUACCCGGAAGGGGAGUGAAAUAGAACUUGAAACCGUGUGCUUACAAGUAGUCAGAGCCCGUUAAUGGGUGAUGGCGUGCCUUUUGUAGAAUGAACCGGCGAGUUACGAUUUGAUGCAAGGUUAAGCAGUGAAUGUGGAGCCGUAGCGAAAGCGAGUCUGAAUAGGGCGUUGAGUAUUUGGUCGUAGACCCGAAACCAGGUGAUCUACCCAUGACCAGGUUGAAGUUCAGGUAACACUGAAUGGAGGACCGAACCGACUUACGUUGAAAAGUGAGCGGAUGAGUUGUGGGUAGCGGAGAAAUUCCAAUCGAACCUGGAGAUAGCUGGUUCUCUCCGAAAUAGCUUUAGGGCUAGCCUCAAGUGAUGAUUAUUGGAGGUAGAGCACUGUUUGGACGAGGGGCCCUUAUCGGGUUACCGAAUUCAGACAAACUCCGAAUGCCAAUCAAUUUAACUUGGGAGUCAGAACGCGGGUGAUAAGGUCCGUGUUCGAAAGGGAAACAGCCCAGACCACCAGCUAAGGUCCCAAAAUAUAUGUUAAGUGGAAAAGGAUGUGGCGUUGCCCAGACAACUAGGAUGUUGGCUUAGAAGCAGCCAUCAUUUAAAGAGUGCGUAAUAGCUCACUAGUCGAGUGACACUGCGCCGAAAAUGUACCGGGGCUAAACAUAUUACCGAAGCUGUGGAUUGUCCGUAAGGACAAUGGUAGGAGAGCGUUCUAAGGGCGUUGAAGCAUGAUCGCAAGGACAUGUGGAGCGCUUAGAAGUGAGAAUGCCGGUGUGAGUAGCGAAAGACGGGUGAGAAUCCCGUCCACCGAUUGACUAAGGUUUCCAGAGGAAGGCUCGUCCGCUCUGGGUUAGUCGGGUCCUAAGCUGAGGCCGAUAGGCGUAGGCGAUGGAUAACAGGUUGAUAUUCCUGUACCACCAUUAUUCGUUUUAAGCGAUGGGGGACGCAGUAGGAUAGGCGAAGCGUACGAUUGGAUUGUACGUCCAAGCAGUGAGAUUGAGUGUUAGGCAAAUCCGGCACUCUUAAGAUUGAGCUGUGAUGGGGAGAGGAAAUUGUUUCCUCGAGUCGUUGAUUUCACACUGCCAAGAAAAGCCUCUAGCUAGAAUUGUGGUGCCCGUACCGCAAACCGACACAGGUAGUCAAGAUGAGAAUUCUAAGGUGAGCGAGCGAACUCUCGUUAAGGAACUCGGCAAAAUGACCCCGUAACUUCGGGAGAAGGGGUGCUCUUUAGGGUUAACGCCCAGGAGAGCCGCAGUGAAUAGGCCCAAGCGACUGUUUAUCAAAAACACAGGUCUCUGCUAAACCGUAAGGUGAUGUAUAGGGGCUGACGCCUGCCCGGUGCUGGAAGGUUAAGAGGAGUGGUUAGCUUCUGCGAAGCUACGAAUCGAAGCCCCAGUAAACGGCGGCCGUAACUAUAACGGUCCUAAGGUAGCGAAAUUCCUUGUCGGGUAAGUUCCGACCCGCACGAAAGGCGUAACGAUUUGGGCACUGUCUCAACGAGAGACUCGGUGAAAUCAUAGUACCUGUGAAGAUGCAGGUUACCCGCGACAGGACGGAAAGACCCCGUGGAGCUUUACUGUAGUCUGAUAUUGAAAUUCGGCACAGCUUGUACAGGAUAGGUAGGAGCCUGAGAUACGUGAGCGCUAGCUUACGUGGAGGCGUUGGUGGGAUACUACCCUCGCUGUGUUGGAUUUCUAACCCGCACCAUUUAUCAUGGUGGGAGACAGUGUCAGAUGGGCAGUUUGACUGGGGCGGUCGCCUCCUAAAGAGUAACGGAGGCGCUCAAAGGUUUCCUCAGAAUGGUUGGAAAUCAUUCAUAGAGUGUAAAGGCAUAAGGAAGCUUGACUGCGAGACUUACAAGUCGAGCAGGGUCGAAAGACGGACUUAGUGAUCCGGUGGUUCCGCAUGGAAGGGCCAUCGCUCAACGGAUAAAAGCUACCCCGGGGAUAACAGGCUUAUCUCCCCAAGAGUUCACAUCGACGGGGAGGUUUGGCACCUCGAUGUCGGCUCAUCGCAUCCUGGGGCUGUAGUCGGUCCCAAGGGUUGGGCUGUUCGCCCAUUAAAGCGGUACGCGAGCUGGGUUCAGAACGUCGUGAGACAGUUCGGUCCCUAUCCGUCGUGGGCGUAGGAAAUUUGAGAGGAGCUGUCCUUAGUACGAGAGGACCGGGAUGGACAUACCUCUGGUGUACCAGUUGUCGUGCCAACGGCAUCGCUGGGUAGCUAUGUAUGGACGGGAUAAGUGCUGAAAGCAUCUAAGCAUGAAGCCCCCCUCAAGAUGAGAUUUCCCAACUUCGGUUAUAAGAUCCCUCAAAGAUGAUGAGGUUAAUAGGUUCGAGGUGGAAGCAUAGCGAUAUGUGCAGCUGACGAAUACUAAUCGAUCGAAGACUUAAUCAA
RNAcentral lists this ribosomal RNA (2920 nucleotides) under Staphylococcus saprophyticus. RNAcentral describes it as "23S ribosomal RNA". It matches the Rfam family "Bacterial large subunit ribosomal RNA". The record is from RNAcentral. Lineage: Bacteria; Bacillati; Bacillota; Bacilli; Caryophanales; Staphylococcaceae.